This 253-nucleotide ribosomal RNA is filed under the name uncultured bacterium. RNAcentral's name for it is "partial 16S ribosomal RNA". It matches the Rfam family "Bacterial small subunit ribosomal RNA", at positions 524 to 776 of the family's 1533-position model. The record is from RNAcentral.
UACGGAGGGUGCAAGCGUUAUCCGGAUUCACUGGGUUUAAAGCGCGCGUAGGCGGCUUUGCAAGUCGGGUGUGAAAUCCCCAGGCUUAACCUGGGAACUGCAUUCGAGACUGCAUUGCUAGAGUAUGGGAGAGGGAAGUGGAAUUUCCGGUGUAGCGGUGAAAUGCGUAGAUAUCGGAAGGAACAUCAGUGGCGAAAGCGACUUCCUGGACCAAUACUGACGCUCAUGUGCGAAAGCGUGGGGAGCAAACAGG